RNAcentral lists this ribosomal RNA (253 nucleotides) under uncultured bacterium. RNAcentral's name for it is "partial 16S ribosomal RNA". It matches the Rfam family "Bacterial small subunit ribosomal RNA", at positions 524 to 776 of the family's 1533-position model. RNAcentral also lists the same sequence under 1 other name. The record is from RNAcentral.
UACGAAGGGGACUAGCGUUGUUCGGAAUUACUGGGCGUAAAGCGCGCGUAGGCGGAUCGCUAAGUCAGGGGUGAAAUCCCAAGGCUCAACCUUGGAACUGCCUUUGAUACUGACGAUCUGGAGAUUGGGAGAGGUGAGUGGAAUUCCGAGUGUAGAGGUGAAAUUCGUAGAUAUUCGGAGGAACACCAGAAGCGAAGGCGGCUCACUGGCCCAAUACUGACGCUGAGGCGCGAAAGCGUGGGGAGCAAACAGG